Xiphophorus couchianus (Monterrey platyfish) is the source of this 2610-nucleotide long non-coding RNA. RefSeq lists it as uncharacterized. The transcript is spliced from 3 exons. NCBI's taxonomy places the organism in Eukaryota, Metazoa, Chordata, Actinopteri, Cyprinodontiformes, Poeciliidae. The record is from RefSeq and is a predicted model, not a curated record.
ACGUCUCUGCUUUUAAACCAAUCAGGAACCAGGUCACGUGUCUGUUUUUAAACCAAUCAAAAGAAGUCAUAGGUUUACCAUAAACCAUGUUCAGCAAGUAUGAAAAGUUGUCUAUCCUUAUUUAUUUUACCUUCUGAAUCCUUUAAAAAGAAAUCAGUACUAAUUUACUGUAAGGAUAAAAAGUUUAUCAGUUCAUCUGCAAGGACUUUAGAAAUCAUUAAUAACUGUUUAUUAAUGAUUAGUAAAGGUGAGCAGGAGACGAUAUGCUAAAAGUUAUGUUUACAAAUGCUUAUUAUGUCUGAAAUGUUUAGUAUAACUAAAAUGAGCUGAUCUGACUCUAGAUUUUUCUCUUUCUCAUCCUUAUUGUAUAUUUUCCUAAACAAUCAUUUGUUAUCAUGACUUUUCUGGAGAACAUUUUUUGUUUUCUCUUUGUUGCUCUGUGAAAUAAAACACGGUGAAGCACCAGAGACCCGCAGGAAUCCACAUUUCUAGAUUUCAAGUUUCAAAGCUGCUUCUGCAGGUUAGGGAACAUUUUUCCAUACAGUCUAUUAAAAACGGAGAUCCACAGGGUUCUGCUCUAGAGCCUGUAGUUUUAGUCUUAUUUUCUAUAUGUAUAGUAUAAUAAAGUUUAUCUUCAUUGAAACAAAAUGAAGAUUUUUUAAAGGUUGUUUUUAAUGGAUUUUUGUGAAAAUGUAAAAAAAAUAAAACAAAAUCAGGUUUCCAUCCUGAUAAGAGAAACAGAUCUGAGUAAAUAUUUCUUGUAAUUGAAUGUAAUUAUUCCAUGGAAAAUCUUCAUUUGUCAUGUCUGGAUUUAAAAACAUCAGUUUUUUCUUAGUUGGGUUUUAGAAUCAUAAGGAGAUUUAAAGGAGGCAGCAAUAUUAAUAAAUAAACAUUUCUGGUUAAGUUAUGAUUUAUGAAUAAGAGUCAAGCGAACACAGGAGAGAGGAGCAGAGGCGGUGCGUUCAGGUUAGACGUGUUUAUGAGGACUCUGGUGUUACAGUGCAGGAAGUUCUCAACCAUCUGAGUUCAAAACUAAAAUCCAUCAUCAGCAGGAAGCAGCGAAACACAGAACAGAAAGAGUCACAGCCCAACAGGAGACCAGGUCAGAAAACACCGACGACAUUUCCACCGAGCAGGAGUGUGUGUGUGUGUGUGUGUGUGUGUGGCACUUUGAUGGCUUCAGGGCCUCUGAGUGAGUCAGUGGAGGAGCUGAGCAGCUCAGACCUGGAGUGUCCUGGAGUGUCUUCAUGCUACGUGUCUUUGUGUACAUUCACUAAUUGCACUUGAGGAUGAGGAUAUGUGGAGACGACAUAACUGGCCCGACGGCCGCAGGAGAAGCUUCUUGUUUUGGUGGUGAUGUUCGGGACAGACAGCCGGUGUGGGAGCGGGUCGGCCGAGAAGCAGCCGGACCCGACCCGUCGCUUUAAACACAAAGAAGCAGCUGGAGACAAGAGUUAGCUUAUCAAACAGGAAGUUCCUGAAUCAAGUGACCAUCCAUGUGGAGGCGGCGACCUGCGACCCUGUAGCCGAUGCAGGACCGUCAUCCGGCAGGUCCACCUGACAGAUGAGCCGACCGACUCUUCCACUUUCACACUAACCGGAACCAAACCCAGGAAAACUCCUCCAGAAACUCCUAAACCCGAAUUAAACCGGUUCUGUUCUGCUUAACCUACAGAAGUUAUUGCUUAAACACAUGAUCUUACUAAGAGCAGAACUGAUAUCAAACUGUGUCACCGGUUCUGGAAAAACAUCUAGAAGACGAGAGCAGAGUCACAUGUGCUGAUAAGAUGUAACUCCAGGGUCAAAGGUCACUCUGAUAUAUUAGAGGUGAAGUAUUUGUGACAUUGAUCUGAUAUCGAGGAUAAAAAAGCAUCAAAAUGUUUCAGCUGCUAUGAAUGUAAAAAUGUUUGCAGACGAUUCGCUGAUCUGUUCACAAAGUUUAGUAAAAAUGUUAAGACCAUGAGGGAAUUUUUGUGAAAGCUGUUUGGAUCUCCAUGUCAGUCAUUCUUCCCAGCAGAACCAUGGUUCAGUUUAAACGGGUCACAGGAAGUCGGGUUUCCUGUCCACUCAGCUUCAGCUCAGAGUUUAACGUGUCAGAUCUCCACCAGGAGCUUCUGACACUCAACGUUCAACAAAACAGAGUUUUAGAUUUAGCUCCUGUUUAAAGCUUCACUUGUUAACGAACUGUCACUGAAAUGCAGGGAGUCGCCAUGGAAACCGGUCUGGUUUUGACUCUCCAGGCAUUUCCCCUCUGUAAUAUUCUUGCAUUUUUUAAUUGACAAGUUAAUUGUGACAACAGCAGAGUGAACUUCAUUUACCUGACCAACCACCAGGUGUCCCUACUGAGGCGUCUGCUGGUACCGACUCACCUAACUGGACGGUUUUGGUCCAUUCGGUACUGCAGCCACUAACUGAAGGAGUCCAGCUGAAAAUGCAGAAGUCAUGAGAGUGACCCCGAUACAUUUCUAAAGAUUCACAGCAGCGACUGAGCGUACGCUGAGCGUAACGGGAAACAGAAAUCACGGCGGUGUCACGGGAGGAGCAUUCUUGUGUCGGUGGCCGAUGAGGAAUCGUUAGCGGCAGCUAGUGGUUGUUGGUCGCGUAAAUGUC